This 428-nucleotide long non-coding RNA is filed under the name Equus caballus (horse). RNAcentral's name for it is "lncRNA (ENSECAG00000054758.1)". Lineage: Eukaryota; Metazoa; Chordata; Mammalia; Perissodactyla; Equidae. The record is from RNAcentral.
AAUGAUGGAGAGAUGAGAUUAUGAUGAGACGGCAAGAAAAACAUGGGGAAUUGCCUAAAACUAAUCCUCUAUUCUUCCAAGCCUGCAACAGCUUCCCUGGAGAUUGAUGAAAUCCUAAAGGACAAUGAAUCCACUCAGAUGCUGAAACAGCCAACGCUCUGAAGAAUUCCAUGGUCUCUACUCAUCUGACUCAACUUUAACCAGGAACGCAGCUAACGAGCCCAUGAUAAACAACUGCUGAUGGCUAUUCUGUUUCCUCACAGUGUACUUGAGUUCUUUUCCAGCGUCUGCUCUGUAUCAGAGAAGUCCAGGCCUGCAAGCCGAGAAGUGUAAAAUCCACACAGAGGAGUCAUUCUUAACGAGACGCAGAGCUAGGCCAUUUCUCCCACCUCAUAGUCCUUCCAGAAUGUUCACAACUGGCAUCAGAC